CCAAUUGAUAUUCGAGAGUCCAUGGAUAAUGUUGAGAGCUUUGUGGUAGAAUCUGGAGCAUCGUUCAUCACAACUAUUGAUGACUGAAGAGUCAAAGACUCCAUUGGGAAUCUAUUUGGAAUCUUGAAGAAUGAAGAUUUGUGAAAUUUUAUUCAAGAAUAAUUGUUGCUUACUUGUUUAAGACAAUUUAGUUUUGUUUGUAAUGUGUAUUAGACGUUUAGUGGAGGUUUUUUAUUUUUUUAUUUUUA
Molecule: long non-coding RNA, 248 nt
Organism: Juglans microcarpa x Juglans regia
Lineage: Eukaryota; Viridiplantae; Streptophyta; Magnoliopsida; Fagales; Juglandaceae
Exons: 2
Source: RefSeq, a predicted model, not a curated record